This 71-nucleotide transfer RNA is filed under the name Phrynosoma platyrhinos (Desert horned lizard). Its description in RNAcentral is "tRNA-OTHER". The record is from RNAcentral. Lineage: Eukaryota; Metazoa; Chordata; Lepidosauria; Squamata; Phrynosomatidae.
GCCAAUGUGGCAUAGUGGUUUGAGUGUUGGACUAAAACUCUAAGACCAGCAUUCAAUUCCCAGCUUGGCCA